RNAcentral lists this ribosomal RNA (253 nucleotides) under uncultured bacterium. RNAcentral's name for it is "partial 16S ribosomal RNA". It matches the Rfam family "Bacterial small subunit ribosomal RNA", at positions 524 to 776 of the family's 1533-position model. The record is from RNAcentral.
UACGGAGGGUGCGAGCGUUAUCCGGAUUCACUGGGUUCAAAGGGUGCGUAGGUGGGAAUGUAAGUCAGUGGUGAAAUCUCCGGGCUUAACCUGGAAACUGCCAUUGAUACUAUGUUUCUUGAAUUUUCUGGAGGAUAGCGGAAUAUGUCAUGUAGCGGUGAAAUGCUUAGAUAUGACAUAGAACACCGAUUGCGAAGGCAGCUAUCUACAGGGAUAUUGACACUGAUGCACGAAAGCGUGGGGAUCAAACAGG